Molecule: ribosomal RNA, 489 nt
Filed under: uncultured bacterium
Lineage: Bacteria
Description: partial 16S ribosomal RNA
Rfam family: Bacterial small subunit ribosomal RNA
Source: RNAcentral
GAUGAACGCUAGCUACAGGCUUAACACAUGCAAGUCGCGGGGCAGCAUGGGGGUUGCUUGCCAUCCCCGAUGGCGACCGGCGCACGGGUGAGUAACGCGUAUCCAACCUGCCCUUCACCACGGGAUAACCCGGCGAAAGUCGGACUAAUACCGUAUGUUGUCCAUUGACGGCAUCCGAUUUGGACGAAAGGCUUGGCGGUGAGGGAUGGGGAUGCGUCCGAUUAGCCAGACGGCGGGGUAACGGCCCACCGUGGCUACGAUCGGUAGGGGUUCUGAGAGGAAGGUCCCCCACACUGGAACUGAGACACGGUCCAGACUCCUACGGGAGGCAGCAGUGAGGAAUAUUGGUCAAUGGGCGUAAGCCUGAACCAGCCAAGUAGCGUGCAGGAUGACGGCCCUAUGGGUUGUAAACUGCUUUUAUGCGGGGAUAAAGUGGCCCACGUGUGGGCUUUUGCAGGUACCGCAUGAAUAAGGACCGGCUAAUUCCGU